CUUGUAGUGUUUUUAUGGUGUU
Molecule: non-coding RNA, 22 nt
Filed under: Arabidopsis thaliana (thale cress)
Lineage: Eukaryota; Viridiplantae; Streptophyta; Magnoliopsida; Brassicales; Brassicaceae
Source: RNAcentral